UCCGUAGGUGGAUAAUUAAGUCAGUGGUGAAAUCCUGCGGCUCAACCGUAGAACUGCCAUUGAUACUGAUGUUCUUGAAUAUAGUUGAGGUAGGCGGAAUGUGUAAUGUAGCGGUGAAAUGCUUAGAUAUUACACAGAACACCGAUUGCGAAGGCAGCUUACUAAACUAUUAUUGACGCUGAUGUACGAAAGCGUGGGGAGCGAACAGGAUUAGAUACCCUGGUAGUCC
This 229-nucleotide ribosomal RNA is filed under the name uncultured bacterium. RNAcentral describes it as "partial 16S ribosomal RNA". It matches the Rfam family "Bacterial small subunit ribosomal RNA", at positions 568 to 796 of the family's 1533-position model. The record is from RNAcentral.